Small RNA from Rhodobacteraceae bacterium SB2, 53 nucleotides. It matches the Rfam family "ffh sRNA". NCBI's taxonomy places the organism in Bacteria, Pseudomonadati, Pseudomonadota, Alphaproteobacteria, Rhodobacterales, Paracoccaceae. The record is from Rfam.
CAUGUUCAGGAUCGCCCCCCGUCAGCGAGGUUUCGCCCACGGGGGCAAUUUUG